Molecule: long non-coding RNA, 994 nt
Filed under: Homo sapiens (human)
Lineage: Eukaryota; Metazoa; Chordata; Mammalia; Primates; Hominidae
Description: HSALNT0054061
Source: RNAcentral
GGAUAUGGCCUGGACAGAGGUGGGCAGGGCUGUGAAAAGGUGGUGACCUAUUGGGAUAUUAAAUGUCUCAGUGAUGCCCCCAUGGAGCUGUGGGCCUGGAUCUAGAGUUGGGGCAGCAACUCCAGGAGGGGAGGCACCCCUAGGGAGCUCCUCGACUUUAUUUUCCCAUAGCCUGGGUGCUGUUAUUAAAACAAACUGGAUUUCAUUUCUCCUCCCAUCAUAUCCCUUGAUGUCAACCUGACGUCCUCAAGAUGAAAUCCUACUCCUCCCACAGCCUUUCUCUCCACUUGCCCUGCUGCUCAGCCUGGCUUCUGUCCUCUCAUUCCCAGACUGCUACCACUGACCCCACCUCAGGGUCUUAGCCCAUGCUGUGCCUUCUCCCCUCCAACUGCAUUCUCAGGUCUCCCCUCAAAAGCCCCAUCCCCAAGGAGGCCUCCCACCCAUCCAGCCGGAAUCAAGCCCCAGCCCUACUCUUCCUCCUCUGCCAGGCAUGUGACCCGGGGCUAGUCCCUUCUGCCCUCUGAGUUUCAGUCCCUGGCCUGGCAUCCUGUCCAGUUUUGCUGGCGCAGGGCCAGGUGGGCCUCCUACGUAUUAGGUUGUGAAAGCCCCUAGAAGUCCCAGGCAAAGGCAUGGGCGUGGGGGGAGGUGGCAUCAGUAUAGUAGAUACAGCAGAGUCCCCAGAGCACGGCAUGGGAAGCACCAACCGUCACAGGGCAGAGGCAGCAAGAGAUUUGCAUCUGAGAAACUAAGCCCUGGUCAUCAUGGGGAAGUGGAAGGGUAUGUGCUCAUGCUGGGGCCCUCACUUUGGGGCUUAAGGAUCUGGGAAGCUGGCUAGACUCUCAGGGCUGGUCUUUGUCACCCUUAAGUCCCCCAAAGAAGGGUUGUCCCUUUCAGGCCCUCUACUAUACAGCCAUAACUCCUUAGAUGCCCCCCAGGGCAGAGCCAGCUCUUAUCCCUCACACUGGAUCUUUUACUUGGCCCAGCUCCCUCUCCC